GGAGUACUCCCUUCGUUCCAAAUUAGUUGAUUCAGAUUUGACUAGAUACGGAUAUAUCUAGACAUGUUUUAGUGUUAGAUACAUCCGUAUCUAGAUAAAUCCAAGUCAACUAACUUGGAACAGAGGUAGUAUGUA
Triticum aestivum (bread wheat) is the source of this 135-nucleotide non-coding RNA. The record is from Rfam. Lineage: Eukaryota; Viridiplantae; Streptophyta; Magnoliopsida; Poales; Poaceae.